CCCCUCCCACCCUUUGGUGGUUCUGGGGCCUGCAGAAUCCAAGAUCCGCUCACCCCGUGGUGCCCUCAGGGCUUUGUUGCAGGUGGGGAAACUGAGGCAGAUGCCCAGUCACCCAGAACUACCCUAGGUCCUCUGAGUGUGGCUGAGCCUCCCCCACCAUCUGUUAACCUUGGGCACUUGUCAACUUUUAGGUGCCUGACCCCUCCCCGAGCUCACAGCCUCCUGUUCUGAAUCGGGAGGCAGAGGAGGGGCAAAGGGGUCUCCUCCAAGACCUCAGUCUGGGUAAGGAGUGCACGUGUGCAUGGGCUGCAGGUGUGGGGGUGUGCCGCUGUGGAUGGGGUGCAGGUGUGGGGGUGUGCAGGUGUGUAUGGGGGUGAAGCUAUGGGGUAUAUGCAGGUGCGUAUGAAGGUGCAUGUAUGGGGGUGUGCAGAUGUGUAUGAGGUACAGGUAUUGGGUGUGUUAGUGUGUAUGGGGUGCAGGUGGGUGUGUGGGUGUGCGAGUGCAUGAUGUGUUUGGUGUGGGGUCGGGGUGGGGGUGGGGGUGUGCUGUGGUUUUUGUCUCCACCAAAAUUUAAGCGUCAUAACCGAAUGGCCAGUGUGAUGGUGUUAGGAGUGGUUAGGCCGUGAAGGGGAUGAAGGUCCUUGCAGACCAGGCCUCAGUCAGCAGAGACCUCUCACCCUCCCAGCGCCUCCACGUGAGAACACAGUGUCUGUCCCCUCCGUAGGAUGCAGCAGAAAGGUACCACCUUGGAAGCUGAGCGCCCCCCUCGCCAGACACCAGACCUGCUGGCUCCUGAAUCUUGGACUUCCAGCCUCCAGAAUGGGGAGAAAUAAGUUUCUGUUCUUUAAAAUUACUCCGUCUCAGGUGUCGGGACGUUAACUGCAGACCUUGGUGAAUAAAAGCCAGUUGUCCUGAGUUUGGCAAGAAAACCUUUGGAAGAGGCCUCACAAGCCACUCCAGGCUACAAGACGGGGCGUUUGUCCUGGGGGACCUGCCGUCACCCUUAGUGGUCCAGCAGCA
Molecule: long non-coding RNA, 1020 nt
Filed under: Pan troglodytes (chimpanzee)
Lineage: Eukaryota; Metazoa; Chordata; Mammalia; Primates; Hominidae
Description: long non-coding RNA NONPTRT013900
Source: RNAcentral